AGGAAUCUGCCUGGUAGUGGGGGACAACGUUUCGAAAGGAACGCUAAUACCGCAUACGUCCUACGGGAGAAAGCAGGGGACCUUCGGGCCUUGCGCUAUCAGAUGAGCCUAGGUCGGAUUAGCUAGUUGGUGGGGUAAUGGCUCACCAAGGCGACGAUCCGUAACUGGUCUGAGAGGAUGAUCAGUCACACUGGAACUGAGACACGGUCCAGACUCCUACGGGAGGCAGCAGUGGGGAAUAUUGGACAAUGGGCGAAAGCCUGAUCCAGCCAUGCCGCGUGUGUGAAGAAGGUCUUCGGAUUGUAAAGCACUUUAAGUUGGGAGGAAGGGCAGUAAGCGAAUACCUUGCUGUUUUGACGUUACCGACAGAAUAAGCACCGGCUAACUCUGUGCCAGCAGCCGCGGUAAUACAGAGGGUGCAAGCGUUAAUCAGAAUUACUGGGCGUAAAGCGCGCGUAGGUGGUUUGUUAAGUUGGAUGUGAAAGCCCCGGGCUCAACCUGGGAACUGCAUCCAAAACUGGCAAGCUAGAGUACAGUAGAGGGUGGUGGAAUUUCCCGU
Molecule: ribosomal RNA, 559 nt
Filed under: uncultured bacterium
Lineage: Bacteria
Description: bacterial SSU rRNA
Rfam family: Bacterial small subunit ribosomal RNA
Source: RNAcentral